This is a long non-coding RNA of Fopius arisanus, 675 nucleotides long. RefSeq lists it as uncharacterized. The transcript has 3 exons. The record is from RefSeq and is a predicted model, not a curated record. NCBI's taxonomy places the organism in Eukaryota, Metazoa, Arthropoda, Insecta, Hymenoptera, Braconidae.
GAGAAAAACCAGUGGAAUUUUCCAAUUUUCCGAUAUUUUUACUCGUUCUUGAUAAUUCUCGAUAUUCGCGGGAAAUCCGGGGAUUUCCGGAGGAUUUAAAUUAAUAGAAAAAGGGGAUCUCGAGAGCUACAAAAAAUUCCCCAACGGUUUUUCCCGGGAGUCAACAUUUCUCGAGAUAAAUCGACGAUUGCAGAUAAAAUGGAAAUGAUACAUUUACAUCAUUCAUUUAUUCGUCCAGUCGAUUUCAGUCGGGCCCCACGUGGACUGAGUCAUCAAAUCAAGGCCCCACUCAAUGCUGUCUCCUUUUCUUAUUGUCACCAGUCCAAUUAUGGAUUAUCCUCACUCGUAGAUAUUCGUUGAACUCUGAGAAAAGCGCGUCAAUGUCGACCUCGAGAUGAUUUUUUCCCAUAACCUCGGGAUUUUUCAUUUUUCACGAGGACCUCUCCUCGAGUUAUUUCCAUCGAUCCGAUGAACUCCAUUGACCUCCAUUUUUCGUCAAUAUUUUUUUCUAGGUCGUGUACCUCGAGAAAAUGUCUGUUUGAGUUAUUCCAUCGGUUUGUCGAGUGCCUGUGCAGAUCGUUACUGUGAAGGCCAUCCCCUGGGAGAAGAGGGGCAGAAAAUCAUUAUAAUUGCCGUGCAACUCUAAUUUCUCAUUUUCCCUCGGUAAAUUAAUCG